UACGGGGGGGGCAAGCGUCGUUCGGAAUUACUGGGCGUAAAGGGCUCGUAGGCGGCCAACUAAGUCAGACGUGAAAUCCCUCGGCUUAACCGGGGAACUGCGUCUGAUACUGGAUGGCUUGAAUCCGGGAGAGGGAUGCGGAAUUCCAGGUGUAGCGGUGAAAUGCGUAGAUAUCUGGAGGAACACCGGUGGCGAAGGCGGCAUCCUGGACCGGCAUUGACGCUGAGGAGCGAAAGCCAGGGGAGCAAACGGG
This 253-nucleotide ribosomal RNA is filed under the name uncultured bacterium. Its description in RNAcentral is "partial 16S ribosomal RNA". It matches the Rfam family "Bacterial small subunit ribosomal RNA", at positions 524 to 776 of the family's 1533-position model. The record is from RNAcentral.